UACAGAGGGGGCAAGCGUUGUUCGGAAUUACUGGGCGUAAAGGGCGCGUAGGUGGCCUUCUAAGUCGAACGUGAAAUCCCCGGGCUCAACCCGGGAACUGCGUCCGAUACUGGAAGGCUUGAAUCCGGGAGAGGGAUGCGGAAUUCCAGGUGUAGCGGUGAAAUGCGUAGAUAUCUGGAGGAACACCGGUGGCGAAGGCGGUUCUCUGGGCAUUACCUGACGCUGAGGAGCGAAAGUGUGGGGAGCGAACAGG
RNAcentral lists this ribosomal RNA (253 nucleotides) under uncultured bacterium. RNAcentral's name for it is "partial 16S ribosomal RNA". It matches the Rfam family "Bacterial small subunit ribosomal RNA", at positions 524 to 776 of the family's 1533-position model. The record is from RNAcentral.